This 253-nucleotide ribosomal RNA is filed under the name uncultured bacterium. RNAcentral's name for it is "partial 16S ribosomal RNA". It matches the Rfam family "Bacterial small subunit ribosomal RNA", at positions 524 to 776 of the family's 1533-position model. The record is from RNAcentral.
UACGUAGGGUGCAAGCGUUGUCCGGAAUUAUUGGGCGUAAAGAGCUCGUAGGCGGUUUGUUGCGUCGGCUGUGAAAUCCCGAGGCUCAACCUCGGGCCGGCAGUCGAUACGAGCAAACUAGAGUGUUGCAGGGGAGACUGGAAUUCCUGGUGUAGCGGUGAAAUGCGCAGAUAUCAGGAGGAACACCGGUGGCGAAGGCGGGUCUCUGGGCAACAACUGACGCUGAGGAGCGAAAGCGUGGGGAGCGAACAGG